AAUCUUCUCAUUGAAUAAUUUAACAAGCUUAAGAAAAUAGGCCUUUAGAAUCAAAAUUGGUCUUAAAUUCCAUGGUUAAUGUGGAACCAUGAUAAUAACCAUGGAUGCCACUAUACUUAGAUCCAUACAUCCUAUUUUAUUUGGUUCAAAUACAAAUGCCUUAUCAAGUCAAAAAAAAUAUCUCUUUAAAAUAUCUUUCCUCAUCUUCUACCAAAAAGUCCUAUUAUCCAAUCUUCAACUCAUUUAAUGUCAAAUUAUCUUCAAAUUUAUGCCAUAUUUUCUUUGGAUCUCUCAAAUUUGGUUGCAUAGAAGCCCUUUCAAUUCUUUUCUUACAAUCCAAUGGUAGUAGUAAUGGCAUUGAUUUAAUCUUUCUAGCAAUAGUCUUAUACUUAGUUUCUACCUUCACAUCAUAUCUAUCAAUAUAUUCUUUUAUGUCAUUAUAAAAUUCCUUAGAUUUCAUAUUUAACAUCUUAUCAUCACCUUCAAAAUUCAAAUCUAUUUAUACUUGUAAUUCACCUAAGGUAUCAUCAAAGUUACUUUCUUCAAACAUCCUCGAUAUAUAUUCAUCUUCAUCAAACAUUUCUUCAAUUCAUAUUCUAUAUUUUUGACAUUUUUUUUUUCUACUCUUCUAAAAUUGUUUAUAUUUUUAAAUGAAAUAUAUCCAUUCCCUGAUAAUGUAAUAAUGGCCUCAUCUUUUUUAAUAAGCAAUGUCGUAUAGCAUGAUUUACAAUCUGAAAAUACAUAAGAUAUUUAGCUGCAGUGAAUUUAGUUUUAACUUAUUGACUAAGCUACAAUAAGUAAUUUAUUCCACCUUUAAAUUAUAUAUAAGUUAAAGGUGGAAUAAAUUACUUAUUUUAGCUUUCCUUCCAAAACCUCUUCACUUUAUAUAAAAUGCCCAAAUUGUAGCAAAAUCCUUCAAAACAUAUUUUUCCAGCAAAGAAUUUUUUCUUUUUACACUUUAGAAAUUCAGAUCUUUUGAUCUAAUUUUUCAAUUUCUUUCAAAUUUUUAUGUAACAUAGCUAUUAUUCUUAAUCUUUACUAUAGAAAAAAAUAAAUUAUAAAAUUUCUAUUAAUCUUUUGGCAUCUUAGAAACCCUAACAAGCACUCUAAAUCCUAAUUUACAAGCACUUAAGCACUAUUUUCUUUAUAUCUCAAAAAUCCAAAAUUCAAAUGCUACAAAAUUUAUAUAAAAAGUUUAUUAACAUGAAUAUACACAUUUUUAAAAAUUUUAAGCCAAAUUUUCAUCAAAUUACUUUAGAUAUAGCUCAAAAUACAACCACUAGUGAAUUAAGUCACUUACUACAUUUACAUUUGUAAGCACUAACUUCAACCUCCAAUAUCUCCUUCAUCCUAAUUUAGAAUCCAUUAUACAAUAUAUCAAAAGUAUAGCAAAAAAAGUGCUCUCUCUAAUUCCGGUUGUUGAUUCUUUAUUGUUUUCUAUAUACACGGAUUAUGUCCAAAAGAGUGACAAAAGGUACAAAAUCAACACCUUAACUUUAGGAGCCUAUAUUUCUUUCAUAUAAACUUCAAACCAUACAAAAUUUUUACCAAAACCAUAGUC
RNAcentral lists this long non-coding RNA (1561 nucleotides) under Physcomitrium patens. RNAcentral's name for it is "long non-coding RNA (PPAT_LNC001253)". The record is from RNAcentral. Lineage: Eukaryota; Viridiplantae; Streptophyta; Bryopsida; Funariales; Funariaceae.